This 1614-nucleotide long non-coding RNA is filed under the name Rattus norvegicus (Norway rat). RNAcentral describes it as "long non-coding RNA NONRATT006468". Lineage: Eukaryota; Metazoa; Chordata; Mammalia; Rodentia; Muridae. The record is from RNAcentral.
CAAACAUAUCCUGAAGCUAGGGGACAUGGCUAGAUCUAGCAUAUACUGGUUUUGGGUGCAUGCAUAGUAAGGCAAACUAUGACCUUAAAAUGAACAUUUGAGGGUGUUGGGGGAAAGAUCUCCAUUUGCCCACUUUCGGCUAUGAGUAAUUGGGAUUAAAGUCAAAUGCAUUGUGGGAAGAGAUGUGAACUAAAGCUUACAUAACCCAUAUCAAUUAGAACUAAAGGACACCCCACUGCUAGCAGUGAGCUCCCUCCCCCUCCAGAACCCACAAAAGGAAGCCACAGCCUUUGUCCACUCCAGCUCAAGUAGUCUGUUGGCCUCUUGUAGAGUAUCUGGCCUGUACUACGUCUGCUUCUGCACAAAAGUCCUUGUCACUUUCCCAUCUGUGUACACCUUCAAUUUUUUAAAAUGCAGUGCCAAGAACCUGGAGACACCCAUUUGGAACAGAGACCUCUGGUACUAGGUGGGUGGGUUCAGAGCUGGUCACACACUUACCCCUUAUUUCCUCCCCACCUUAAAGGGGGUAAAAUACGGACUCGCUGGCUUAGCUCAUCUAAGCAUGGCAGCACAGACAGCACAGUAGAGUCAGGCUGUGGAUAACUUCCCAUAAAGUCAAGUUUCAGAAAUAGAGGGGCCCACCCUGUGUCAUAGCUAAUGAGACACAGGCCAUGGAGAGCCUCUGUUCUCGGGCUGUCACUGCACUGUCCCCUGCUCUAGGUCUCCUCUGCUUUUUAGAAGAAAUUUUAUGUAUGAGCCAGCCAUUUUCUCAGGACAGUUUUUUUGCUGUCAUUUAUUCUUCCCCUCCAGGUAACUUUUGGUUUUUAUUUUAAGCCAGGAUGAGCACAGUUAACAUUCAGAAGGUCCUUCUUUCCCAAACUAGCUCACGGUCGAGUCAGGAGAAGGCCGGGUCCAUUUCCAAGUGAGGGCGUUAAGUGCGCAGAGGAGUCAGAUAGGAACAGGUGACUCAGGACCAGCGCUGGGCAGGGGACUGCAGAGAGCCACAGGGAGCAGGGUCACCUGUGCAGAACCCCUGCCCCACCUCUACGUGCUCUCUGUUCACAGGCCUCUCUCUGUCAAAGACGCGGCUUCCCAGAGUGCUCUCCUCUGGAAGCCCUGCAUUGACCUGUUUCUCAGUCUCUCUCUCCCCAGGUCAGAACUUCCAGCUCCUUGGUCCUGACCUCGCAGCUGCCUCUCAUGCUGAUGUGUACCGGUUACGUCAAUCACAAGUGAACCACAGCUGGCCCGCCAUGAACUGGAAGGUUCUCGAACACGUGCCUCUGCUGCUGUAUAUCUUGGCAGCAAAGACCCUGAUCCUUUGCCUGGCCUUUGCGGGAGUGAAAAUGUACCAGAGGAGAAGCUUGGAAGGAAAACUGCAAGCUGAGAAGAAGCGGCAAUCAGAGAGGAAAGAGAACUGAAGAGACCUUAGAGAUUUUCCUAUUCAAAUGUCAGCUUGGGUGGACUCCAGCAGCGAAGAGAGAAGAAAGACUUAACAGAGGAGGACACAGUUCUGGCCUAGACCUUUAACUUAAAUGAUUAACAGCGUGAAUUUUUAUAAGUUUUUAGAAGAACCAGUAUUUUGUUUACUGAAAUAAAAUGCAUUAUUCUUAAAAA